AAAGUCGUAACAAGGUUUCCGUAGGUGAACCUGCGGAAGGAUCAUUACACUCCUCAGUAGUUUACUACUGUAAAAGAGGCUGUUAGUCUGUAUAGCGCAAGCUGAUGAGCAGCUGGUCUCUUUUAUCCACCCUUGUCUUUUGCGUACCCACGUUUCCUCGGCAGGCUUGCCUGCCGAUUGGACAAACAUAUAACCUUUUUAAUUUUCAAUCAGCGUCUGAAAAACUUAAUAAUUACAACUUUCAACAACGGAUCUCUUGGUUCUG
Molecule: unclassified non-coding RNA, 265 nt
Filed under: Ascomycota sp.
Lineage: Eukaryota; Fungi; Ascomycota
Description: partial contains small subunit ribosomal RNA, internal transcribed spacer 1, and 5.8S ribosomal RNA
Rfam family: Eukaryotic small subunit ribosomal RNA (bases 1-47)
Source: RNAcentral